GUGCUAGCUUUAACAGCAUAUAUACUGAAAUUGGAAUGAUACAGAAAAAAUUAGCAUAGCCCCUGCACCGGGAUGGCACGCACAUUCAUGAAGCAUUCCAUAUUUUU
Molecule: small nuclear RNA, 107 nt
Organism: Choloepus hoffmanni (Hoffmann's two-fingered sloth)
Lineage: Eukaryota; Metazoa; Chordata; Mammalia; Pilosa; Megalonychidae
Source: Ensembl